UUCUUCCAAAUUCGACCUCAAAUCAGGUAGGACUACCCGCUGAACUUAAGCAUAUCAAUAAGCGGAGGAAAAGAAACCACAGGGAUUGCCUUAGUAGCGGCGAGUGAAGCGGCAAAAGCUCAAAUUUGAAAUCUGGCACUUUCAGUGUCCGAGUUGUAAUUUGAAGAAGGUAUCUUUGGGUCUGGCUCUUGUCUACGUUUCCGUU
This 205-nucleotide ribosomal RNA is filed under the name Lodderomyces orthopsilosis. RNAcentral's name for it is "Candida orthopsilosis partial 28S ribosomal RNA". It matches the Rfam family "Eukaryotic large subunit ribosomal RNA", at positions 1 to 193 of the family's 3401-position model. The record is from RNAcentral. Lineage: Eukaryota; Fungi; Ascomycota; Pichiomycetes; Serinales; Debaryomycetaceae.